Zea mays is the source of this 760-nucleotide long non-coding RNA. RefSeq lists it as uncharacterized. Lineage: Eukaryota; Viridiplantae; Streptophyta; Magnoliopsida; Poales; Poaceae. The record is from RefSeq and is a predicted model, not a curated record. The transcript has 2 exons.
CCUCUCUGCAAGUCUGCAUAAAAGCCACCGAUAGCCACCAGAAAUUCGAUCGUCGUGUGGGCUUCACCGGAGCAAGCUCGUCACCACGGGUGGUACUACGACACGCCACCACCCGGCCCUGGAAUUCUCCUAGGAAGGGCUGCAGUGCACGCCGAAGCGAACCAUGGGCUAAUAGAGCGAAGGUAGUGCUUGGAGUUCGAAGGAAAGUUCGUCAGAGUUCGCGUCUCGUGGGGAACUUCACUGUGUCGAUGGCCAGCCUCGUCGUCGAUUAAGCAUCGCGGCCAAGUCUGUUGUGACUGGGAUUCUUCAACACGUUCCACCUCGAGACCAACUCUCGCCGACGGGGGUACACCGGUAGGGCCAUCACACCAAGCGCCGGUGAUCGUCCGCCUCAGCCAGGCACUCGGGCGUCGUCCAGUUUUUAAAGAAGAACACGCGGCCAUUGGAUCCGGGUCGAUCGGUCGAGAUUAGAUUAAAGAAAACGCUUCGGUCAUUUUAAUCAAAACCGCAGAUCUAGGAUCUGAUGGCCGAGAACACGUGUUGAGUUUUGGGGUGUGGCGUUUUUGUUUAAGAGCCCCUCAGAAUGUUCUUAUUUAACCUGCCGUCUACACCAGUUCAAAUACCAGUACAAGCGAGUCCCAGAAUUUAUAGUUUGGACCGCGAAACUCUCUUAUUCUGUACCCGCAGUUCCGAAGGUUGUGAUCUGAGUCUGUAGAAAUUUUAUAAUUUUACCCCGGAACUCUCUGGUAAUUAGCGCUCA